This 640-nucleotide long non-coding RNA is filed under the name Pan troglodytes (chimpanzee). RNAcentral describes it as "long non-coding RNA NONPTRT009836". The record is from RNAcentral. Lineage: Eukaryota; Metazoa; Chordata; Mammalia; Primates; Hominidae.
CGGUGGAGCCGCGCAGCCCACCCGCACCAAAGCUGCGGGGAAGAUGGAGCUCCCGGCCUGCCCCUGUCGCCACGUGGACAGUCAGGCCCCAAACACCGGUGUCCCCGUUGCCCAGCCCGCCAAAAGCUGGGAUCCAAACCAGCUAAAUGCGCACCCGCUGGCGCCUGUGCUGCGGGUCCUGAAGACAGCAGAAGGCGCGCUGCGUCCGCCGCCCGGAGGAAAAGGUUCAUGACAGCAUCAGAUUCUCUGCGGCAGGAGUACAGGUUGCAGCCACUCUCCCGCCGAACAUUGAAUACGUCUUUCCACCAUCUUGUCUUUGCUGUGGCUCUGGGAAAAUCAGCAGAGUCAGCCAUCACUCUCCAAGGGGAGCUGUCGGUUCUAUCUGCCAGCUUUUGAGUGUUCAAUUUGAUUUUUACUUAUUCAAUCUGGAAUUUGAAUGUCUUUGAUGUGUGCGCUGGUGUCAUUAUUCAAUUAUGGGACUCUCUCAGCCAUUAUGUCUUUAAAUAUUGCCUCCACCCCGUUCUGUCUCUUUGUCUUUGGAACACAAACUAAAUGUUUGCUAAGCCUUCUCUCUCUCCCGGUAUCUUUUAGUCUCCCACUUCUUUGUUUGAUUUAUUUAGCUGCCUGUGCUGCAUUCUAA